This 74-nucleotide transfer RNA is filed under the name compost metagenome. RNAcentral describes it as "tRNA-Glu". It matches the Rfam family "tRNA". From Rfam's summary of the family: Transfer RNA (tRNA) molecules are approximately 80 nucleotides in length. The record is from RNAcentral.
GCCCCGGUCGUCUAGUGGCCUAGGACUCUGCCCUUUCAAGGCGGCAACACGGAUUCGAAUUCCGUCCGGGGUAC